RNAcentral lists this ribosomal RNA (119 nucleotides) under Meriones unguiculatus (Mongolian gerbil). Lineage: Eukaryota; Metazoa; Chordata; Mammalia; Rodentia; Muridae. The record is from RNAcentral.
GUUUAUGGCCAUACCACCCUGAACGUGCCGAAUCUCAUCUAAUCUGGGAAGCUAAACAGGGUCGGGCCUGGUCAGUACUUGGAUGGGAGACCGCUUGGGAAUACCCGGUGCUGUUGGCU